CCUACGGGGGGCAGCAGUGGGGAAUAUUGGACAAUGGGCGCAAGCCUGACCCAGCAACGCCGCGUGAAGGAAGAAGGCUUUCGGGUUGUAAACUUCUUUUCUCAGGGACGAAGCAAGUGACGGUACCUGAGGAAUAAGCCACGGAUAACUACGUGCCAGCAGCCGCGGUAAUACGUAGGUGGCCAGCGUUAUCCGGAUUUACUGGGUGUAAAGGGCGUGUAGGCGGGAAAGCAAGUCAGAUGUGAAAACCAUGGGCUCAACCUGUAGACUGCAUUUGAAACUGUCUUUCUUGAGUACAGGAGAGGCAGACGGAAUUCGUAGUGUAGCGGUGAAAUGCGUAGAUAUUAGGAGGAACACCGAUGGCGAAGGCAGUCUGCUGGACUGCAACUGACGCUGAGGCGCGAAAGCGUGGGGAGCAAACAGGAUUAGAUACCCGAGUAGUC
This 443-nucleotide ribosomal RNA is filed under the name uncultured bacterium. Its description in RNAcentral is "partial 16S ribosomal RNA". It matches the Rfam family "Bacterial small subunit ribosomal RNA", at positions 338 to 795 of the family's 1533-position model. The record is from RNAcentral.